RNAcentral lists this ribosomal RNA (483 nucleotides) under uncultured bacterium. Its description in RNAcentral is "partial 16S ribosomal RNA". It matches the Rfam family "Bacterial small subunit ribosomal RNA", at positions 28 to 506 of the family's 1533-position model. The record is from RNAcentral.
AUUGAACGCUGGCGGCAUGCUUUACACAUGCAAGUCGAACGGCAGCGCGGGCUUCGGCCUGGCGGCGAGUGGCGAACGGGUGAGUAAUGCAUCGGAACGUGCCCAGUAGUGGGGGAUAGCCCGGCGAAAGCCGGAUUAAUACCGCAUACGACCUGAGGGUGAAAGCGGGGGACCGAAAGGCCUCGCGCUAUUGGAGCGGCCGAUGUCGGAUUAGCUAGUUGGUGGGGUAAAGGCUUACCAAGGCGACGAUCCGUAGCUGGUCUGAGAGGACGACCAGCCAACUGGGGACGAGGCAAGGGCCCAGACCCCCAGGGGGGGCAGGAGGGGGGAAUUUGGGACAAGGGGGGCAACCCGUAUCAGGCCAUGCCGGGGGGGGGAAGAAGGCCUUCGGGUUGUAAACCGCUUUUGUUGGGGAAGAAAUCCUUGGGGCUAAUACCCCGGGGGGAUGACGGUACCGGAAGAAUAAGCACCGGCUAACUACGU